This 464-nucleotide ribosomal RNA is filed under the name uncultured bacterium. Its description in RNAcentral is "bacterial SSU rRNA". It matches the Rfam family "Bacterial small subunit ribosomal RNA", at positions 917 to 1382 of the family's 1533-position model. The record is from RNAcentral.
GGGCCCGCACAAGCGGUGGAGCAUGUGGUUUAAUUCGACGCAACGCGAAGAACCUUACCCAGGCUUGAACUGCAGAUGACAUCCUACGAAAGUAGGCUUCCGCAAGGACGUCUGUAGAGGUGCUGCAUGGCUGUCGUCAGCUCGUGUCGUGAGAUGUUGGGUUAAGUCCCGCAACGAGCGCAACCCUUGUCUUCUGUUGCCAUCGGGUCAAGCCGGGCACUCUGAAGAGACUGCCGGUGACAAACCGGAGGAAGGUGGGGAUGACGUCAAGUCAGCAUGGCCUUUAUGUCUGGGGCCACACACGUGCUACAAUGGCCGGUACAAACCGUCGCGAGCCCGCAAGGGGGAGCUAAUCGGAGAAAGCCGGUCUCAGUUCGGAUUGUAGGCUGCAACUCGCCUGCAUGAAGUUGGAAUCGCUAGUAAUCGCGGAUCAGCACGCCGCGGUGAAUACGUUCCCGGGCCUU